Molecule: long non-coding RNA, 11205 nt
Filed under: Ananas comosus (pineapple)
Lineage: Eukaryota; Viridiplantae; Streptophyta; Magnoliopsida; Poales; Bromeliaceae
Description: long non-coding RNA (ACOM_LNC003144)
Source: RNAcentral
CGAAAGCUAAACUAUCUGGAAUACUCACUAUGAGGAUACUGCUACAGUAUAAAAUAAUACAACGGCCCCUAUGGCUAAAUCAGGUAGUUUAAAUAUAUGACGAUCAUAAUCGCGAGUUUUCUCCUAAGUCUUAUCCAAGUCCAACAUGUAUAUAUAUAUAUAUAUAUAUAUCCAAAGAUAAUAACUCAGCUCCAAUUCAGAUUAUUAACCAUACUAAAUCAAUAAACCGAGCAAUUGCGCCACACAAGAUAAUUCCACAAUUACAUGUCGACUAUAUAGGCACUUAGGAGUAAACCGAUGAUUAACCCACCUUAAUCGCAAAUCCCCGACGGUGAAGAAGGUCACCGGAGUCCCUGUCAAGCUCGGCGCAGCUCCCCGAACCAGCGACAACACGCUCCAUGGGUCUAAACAUAGAAACCCAUAUUAAGCAUCAAUUCUGCCCAAAACAGCAGCAGCAGAAAGAAAUAGGGAUACGACCUAACAAACCUUCACCAAAUCCAGCAAAUAAGGGCUUCGUGGAUUCCUCUCGAAGUCCCGAAUCCAACGAACCAAGUCCCGUCGAAAUCCGACAUUCCUACGUCGAGUACGAGCCGAAACACUAACGGUCAACGCUGAAAAUCAGUAAAAUCAGCACGCGAGCUCAAAACCGUGCGUUCAAGUAAUCCAAGAAGGAAAGUUAGGUACCCACAUCGACAGCGAAUCCAGCGCCGGUGCGACGUCGAGGACGGCGAAAAUGCACCCUCGCCCAGCCUCCAUGCGACGUUACGGCGACAAACGUGCGCUCAAACGGCUCGGCGAUGCGACGUCGGCAACGAACGCUCCACCCAAGUUCCUCCUCCUCGCGUAUGGCUCCAGAGACAGAGAGGGAGGAAAUUUUAAUUAAGGAGGCAUGUACAACCCCCUAAUUAGAUAAGCAUGAAAUACAUGCAUGGGGGCACGUGGCAUUAUAUAUAUAUAUAUAUAUAUAUAAGGAUACUACAGGCUGUGCCGUGUAGAGUCGGAUGCAAUCAACCAUCCGGCCCAGCACAGCCCCUAGGCCUGGGAAGUCCAAGCCGGUUCGGGCAGGGCCGGGCUUCGAGUCGGCCCCUUAAAAUUUUUAUUUUUUAUUUUUUAGAAAAAUAUUAAAAUUUUAAACUAUGAUCAAUUAAGUAUAUAUAUUCAAAUCUAUAUUUUGAUUGAAAAGUUUCAAAUUUAUAAAUAUUUUAAUUAUUAUUUUAAAUAUAAAUUAAGUGGGCUUUUGGUCCAUCUGUAACAUACCGAACUCCUGCAAUUAUGAAGUUUCGGUGGGAACUAGUUUGAAAAGGUAUUGAGAUAGUUCCGAUGAAGUUCGGAGAGCAUUCAAGUAUUUUCGGUGCGAGUUGGGCACAAAAACGGAACUCAAAAAGUUAUAUUGGACUUGGCCUGAAUCCGACAAAGUACAAGUGAGAAGAUGAUUUAAACAUGCUCAAAAAAUGUGUUUUGAGGGUUUUGGAAUGUUUGGAAAUGGAUUAGAGGCUCGAGGAGCGAAAAUGAGCAUUUUCGAAAAAUACUGAAAUUUUGGGGCUGUUGGACCUAUGGGGUCCGGACCCUAGAGCCAAGGUUAGGACCCCGCACGCGUGGGUAGCUCAGAAUGAGGGCAUUUUGGUAAAUUGAAGGCAUGGGCUUAUAAAGGAGAACCCUUCCUUCUCAUUCUUCCUUAGCCAACACAAAACACACACACACUUGAGAGAGAGAGAGAGAACCUCUCUUUUCUCUCUCUAGCUUCCUCUCUUUCCCUCUCUAAAUCUCUCUCCCAAACUUGGGUUUUGGUGGAGAGCGAGCUCGGGAACGCGUGGGGAGUGAUGGAUCGAGCCCUCAAGCGCUAGGUGGUGCGGCGUGCCUUCGACUCGAGGUUCGCAUUUUGUUAAGAGUUGAGGAUUUUGGUUAAAUCAUUUUUGAAUGGUAUUCUAGAGAUCUCUAGAUUAUUCUAGGCAUGUUGCUCCAUAAAUUUUGGGAUAUUUGGAGAAAUGGGAAAAGCUAGGGUUUGGAAAUUAGGGGUUUUGGGGUUUAUGGGUUUUGAAUCUAAUUGAUCUCCUAAUUAUCAAAUUGAAGGUUAGAGGAGAGCCCCAAACAACUCUAGGUUGGAAAUUGGUGAGCGCUCGGUAAUCGAUUGCGAGUUUGAGCCGAACCGAGCAAUUUAUGCUGCGGGAGCGCGAUUGCAAGUGUCGACAAGCAAUCGAAAAGUAUUGUUAGGUGGGUUGUGUUUCACCGAAGUGAUUAGGUCACUUCCAUGCCAAAGAGUGAAGUAUGGUUGUAUUAUUGAUGCAUGUAAUGGUAGUUUAAAUGCAAUGGUGAAUGCAUGAGAUAGAUGCUAUGUAUUGACUACCAUUGAAUGAUGAGAACAUAGGCAUGUGGACAUAUAGGAUAUGUAUAUAUGAAUGCCUAGAUGUGGAUAGUAAAUAUAGGUCGAUGAACUCUAGGAAAAGUAGAGAACUCGACAAGUGUGGCAUGUAAACUAUGGAUCCUAAGUGUGGACAAAUAGGAAAACAAAUAGCAUGAGUGGCAUCAAACCUAAUGUCAUUGAAUAUAGGUGGAGCAUUGAACCUAGAGGCAAGUAAAUCUAGGUGGAAAUGACAUAGAGCCUAUCGUGGUUGUACCUAGGUUAUGAGAUGUAGUGGCAUUGAACCUAGUGUGGUUAAACCUAGGUUGUGGACUAUAGUGGUAGAGUGGCCACUAGGAUAUGCGUGAGUUGAACCUAGAGAGGUCGACAUUGUAGGGUAUAUGAGUAACCCUUGAGAGUUGAAAGGUGGAUUUCGGAAUCCCUAGGAAUUGAGGUUGCGAGUACAUGUGGUUCUCCUUGCUCGGCAGCAGUUGAGUCUUGCGACUAAGCGCAAGUGAAUCAUAACUGCGGGUAUGUGUGGUUCUCCUCGCCCGAUAGUGAUUCAACGGGUAUGUAUGGUUCUUUUCACCCGGUAUGAGAUUGUUGAGACGGGUAUGUGUGGUUCUCCUCGCCUGUUGAGCUUGAGUGACUUGUGGUAUGGGGUUCGAUAGUAUCUCCUCACCCUGUGGAAGACCUAUAGUCGAGUGGAUUUAAGGCUGAGGUGCAUGUGAGACGUCCUUCACUUCGAGCCUGACUGAGCGCGGUAUUCCGCAGAUGAUUGAUGCAAAACCGAGUCGGGUGGCAUAGUUAGCUAAGAUAAAGGAAACCUUAGGUGAAAGGCAAGUGAUAGAGAAUGGCCAAUGAUAUACAGUGGUAAAUGGAUGAGUUGUGGAUAGUGAGAUAGAAAGUAGAAUCAGUAAAUCUACUUGCAUGAAUCGCAUACUGCAUGUUGUGAGGCAUACGUAUGUAUUUAAUACUUGCAUAAAUUAUAUGUGGAUAUAUGUUGGUCUAACAUGUUGAUUUGCCUCAUUUGAACCUGGUGGGUUGAGCUAUUCCCUUGGGUGGCCAUACCCAUUGAGAACUAUUUAUAUAGUUCUCACCCCACGUUUUUCAGGUACACACGCGAGCGGCGCGUCGGUGCGAGGAAAGGGCGUAGCUCCGUAGAUAGCCCUACCACUGUGACCAGAGAUAGCAGUAUUGUAAGGACUGAGAUUUGGCAGAGUAGCUAAACUCUCUGUUGAUGAUGUUUUUGUGUGUAUUUUAAUUACAAAAGUACUCGUCAAGUUUCAAGGAAAAACAAGUUUGAAUGGAGAAGUUACGCAACUUUUAGUUUUCACUUAAAUUGAAUAGUAACCUGGGUUUUCGGAGAGGCUAAAGUGUAAGAGUUGGCUUCUGGCGCGUAUCGGACUCUGUUCAUAACGAUCCAAUAGCUCGUUUUCAAUGGUUCGGCUAUUCUGGAACCAUUGGCGCUGACGGAUUUUAGGUUUGACGCACGAAUUUUGAGAAAUCUGGAAAUACGUAUUUAUAUGUAUUUGUGUGUAGUUUCGCCAGUUGGAGAGAGAGGAUAGAUUUUGUCGCAAAUCCGUGACCAAACGAGGCGAAACAAAAUCAUGACUUUGAUGUCUCUGUUGUCCUAAUCGCACUGGUGUGAUCCGUUCGCAAAUCCGACGGACGGAUCUCCGGAUAUCGCGCGUUGACCGAGAAGGGGCCUUGGAUGGCAAAAUGGUAAUUUUGCGAAAAGCGCGAACAUUUUAUGUACCGUUUUGCGUGAAAUUGAAUGUGGGGGUGUGUUCGCUCGUUUUACUCACGCUGUGAGGGACUCAGUGUUAAAUACUGAAGUUUGGUGGGCUAACUCGCAACUUUACACCUUCUUUAUAUAUAGCUUACCUAAGGCUUGCCCCAUGCAAACCCAAACUAGCCCCAGCUGACCCCCUAGCCGCUUCUCUUCCCCUCACCUCGUGUGCCGCGCGCCUCCCGGUCGCCGUCGAUCGAGCCCCGGCCGGCCAGCCAUAGCCAUUGCCAUCUUCCCUUUCCAUCUCUCUCUCUCUCUCUCUCUCUCUCUCUCUCUCUCUCUUCCCUUUUCACUCGAGUUGAGAAGAGGUUCGAGGCUACAUUGCCUCCUCGCUCUCUCUACCGACGUCGCCCCGAUCUCCGGCGACUCCCCCGCCGGUCGCCGCCGCCCCUGCGGGCUGCCGCCGCCGCCUUGACAGAUUGCGACUGCCCCAGGUCUGCUCAGGCCGAGCAGACCUUGCAACUUCUUCCCCGCGCCGCCGCCGCCCUGGGCCACCCCUGGGGCAUCCUUCUUACCUUAGGUGGUCAGUCGCUGCCGCCCCGAGCCGCCUCGAGCACUGCCGCCGCACUGCAGCCGCCCUGCGGGUUCCAUGGGCAAGCUCGAUCCGAGCUGAGCUCGCACUCCUCCCCCGCGCCGCCGUCACUCAGAGCCACCCACGCAGCACCUCUCCGGCCUCAGGCGAUCCCCCGCCAUCCCCCUUGGGAACCCUGCCGGCCGCAGUGGCCGCCGCCGCUCCUGGACUCGAGCCCUAGCCCGUGCGGGCUCAGGUUGCUCCGCCGCCUGCCGGUGCGAUCCCUGGCCUCCCCACGUCGGCCGCACCCAUUGGCCGCCGGUGCACCCGCCGUCGAGCCGCCGCCAGCCGUACCCUAGCUCUUGCUGCUCCGAUAAGCUUAGUCUAGGGCUUUUGAUUAUUGUUCUGGGUUGCGCACACUUUUCCGGCGAUCUGAGGCUGUCUCGAUGCCUCCGGAGGUGAGCACGGUGAUCAUUCGUCAGUGUUGAUCACAGUGCUCACCUCACUUUGGAUCAGAGGCUUCCAAAAUUGCGUUUUCGGCGCGGUUUUCCCCGAGUGCGCGCUGUUCGCUGAAUAUUUCGGUUGCUCCCGCACCUCCCACGGUGAGCCGUUGUGCUCCGGAUCAUGAGCACGCCCUCCGGUACAUCGAGACCUGUCAGUACGUGUCUCGGCGGAUCUCGGAAGUCCUUGGUUUGCGUUAACGAGCCACAAAGUCACCUUAUUUACAUAAAAUAGUGGAAUUUUAUGUAAAUAGAGGGACUUUUAUGCAAUUUUACAUCAUGUGGCUACUGUAGGCUAUAUGUCUGUGAGGUAGUUGACCUCUGGACUGAUCGUCCAAGGCCCGUUCGCCUUUGUGGAAAUCAGAGGUCGAGUUCGGUGCGUUUUUCUACAAAAUUCGCCGACGGAAUGCGGUUUCGGUUCGGAUUUCAUCCGACAGUAUUUGAUUGCUCUGAGAGUUGUCGCUGAGCUUUGUCGGCUAGUCACCAUCGUCAUAUCGUGGAUUCAGAGAUGACGGGUGAGCGACGGUGGGUUCCGGUGUCGAAAUUGACACUUCCGAGAACCCGGAUCCGAACAAUUAUCUGACGAUAAUUGUUUGUUUGUGUUACCUUGUGUUUGCUGCCAAGACAUCCAAAUAGAUGUGUUUUGUGGCAGCGGGUGACUCGUGGCACGAGUCUCUGAGUUUCGGAACACUUAGUAGGUCCCGACGGCGUCCUGGUGUGAUUUUCGGGACUUCCGGCGAGUUACGGUGAUCGAUUUUGGGAAACCGAUUUUGGGGGACUUGUGUGCGGUUUGUAAGUUGUGUACUUUGGGUUUGUGGGUUGGAUACUGACCCGGUGGAUCUUCGUAGGUCCGAUUGACUGUUGCGCACCCAGUUUUACGACGCGAUAGUGACAGGUGGGUGCUGCGAGCUGGUAGUCGGUGAGAUCGUUUUACUUUUCUCUGUUAUUUCAUAUCAGUAUUGUAGUUUCUACAUGUCGGUUGCUUUUGCUUAUCGUUCGUUCAUCUAUACUUGUUGUUUGCAUGAUGAUAGUCGUUGUUAGACAUGUAGAGCAGGCUUGCAUAUGUUGUAUAUUUGUGGACCUUGGGUCCAGGUAACACAUCGACUCCUUUGUCAUGUGUUUCGAUCUAGUUGAUCGUGGUUCGACGUUGUACGCCCUUGUAUCUGGCUUCUGCCAAGGUACCGGUCUUAUUGCCGAUUUUUGUAUUAAGCAUAUCAGCAUGAUUUAGUCACAACACUGUGUAUUCUAGACUGGUUGGUUUGGCCACCAACCAAGGGGUGUACGUAUCCGGAUAGGUCGUCGGUGGACGCAUGAAUAAAUGUUAGUGUAUGCUUUGUGACAGGCUAGGCUUGAGAUCUGCGGAUCAAUAUGGCAGCACCAGAUUGGAUUUGAUUUUGGAUUAUAUACCCUUGAGGCAUUUGUUUCAGUUGAGUUGUUGAUACAGUAGUAGUUGGUUCUUACUCAUUUACUAUCAUGUUUCUAGUACUACUGUAGUUGCUCUUUUAUCAUACCAUAUACAUACCUAUUGUUCUAUCUUCUUUGUUUUUCAGUGAAUACGAUUUGCCUUCGUGGCUCUGUUGUACCCACUGAGAAACUUUGAUUGUUGUUUCUCACCCCCCAUUUCCCCAGGUGACUCGGGCAAGGAGUUAGCUUUUGGACCGAUGGGAGGACGUUCUAGCUAGCCUGCAGUAGCGACCGUCACCCGGGUUACUUUUAUUUCCGCUUCUAGUAAUUUAAAUAAUUAAAUGAUUCAGUAAGAUGAUCCCUAUGAAUGUUUGAAUAUUCGUGAACUGGUUUUAGUUGAUGUUUUCAUUAUAUAUGCGAUUGGAGAUUUUGGAUAAUUGGUUUCGGAUUUAUGUAUUUAUACAUGGUGGUUUUCUACUCCUCGAGUUAGUCAGUUUUCAAAAUAGAGUUUCUGUGUGGGAAACAGUUUUAAAAGAUUUUCGAAUGGUUUUAUGGAUGCUUAAUUAGAGUUUAAAAAUCAAAGCUUCUGGGUGGGGAGCACUUUUAAAUAGGAUGCUUUUUGUACUGUGCAUUGCAUCAUCCAGUGCUUAAGGAGUGUUUAGAGGCAUGCAUCAUCUCUAAGGAUCGCUAGCUGUAUGAAAAUGCAUCACAUAAAUUGUUUGUGGAUUGGUGAAUGUAGAAUGUGGUUGUGAUCCUGAUGUAACUGUUGGUACGCCAUGCAAAUACAAAGGAGACUCUGUCCGAGUGGACAGAGGAACUUUGUAUUUGUGGCGUGUCUGUACGUCAUGUGGGCCAGGUUGAAUUAAAAAAAAAAAGGCACGUUUUUUUGCAACUCUGAUUUUAAAAAUUGUAUCCAUUACAAAAAGAUUUUUAAAUCGGCCCCGGGGCCUGACAAGUACCCCGAGUUGGUCUAGCUUAGAGGUGUGGAAAUGAAAACAAGAACCAAAUUGUUAUAAUUUGUAAUAGUUGGUUGUAUUCGGAAGGAAAAAGAAUCAAAAAUGUAAAUUGAAUGUAAAAUAAGCUGAAUGCUUGUAAUAGUUAGUACUUUAUGUUUUCGGUACUUUUUCUUAUGCAUUCAGUAUGUGAAAUUUGUUCCUGUUUCGAACCUCUUGACUUGUACUAUUGCGACGUCUUAGAUGUACAGGGAAAACUCUGUCCGUUCGGCGGUCUAUUGGCACGCUCAAAUCCGACCAAAGAGGCGGGUCUCGGGACGUGACACCAUCGGACCAACUUGUUAGGUCCAAAGGACCAAAAACCCCCUUACUAAGGUCUACACUUGCAGACCUUGGAUGGAUAGCUCUUGGGGAGAAGGGCCAAGCCUUUCUUCCCAGGAGCUCAGACCCCAAGCCCAAGGCAAUUUUGCCUUGGGGCUUGGGGUCUAGGCUGUGCUGGCCCAGUCGGCACGGCCCAAACGGGUCGUGACGUGUCGGGUCGCCAGCCUCUCCGCGGUCCAGCACGGUCAAGGCCCGUUACGAGCUGGGCUGUGCCUUGCCGGGCCGUCAGGUCGAAAAGUAUAGGCCCAACACGUCUCGAAACAUUGGGGCGAGCGGACCUAGCACAGGUGCUACAGUACCGAUGCUGUGCUGCAACCCGGCCCUAGACCGUGCCGCUUGGCCUAUUUUACAUUUCUAGAUACACUUCUUUAUAAAAAGACGAACUCCUUUGUGAAAGAAUGUCUUUCCAAUAUUUGUGAAAAGAUGUCUUUUCAUUAUUCUUGAAAAAAUGUGUCUUUUUGUGAAAAUAUAUAGCAUUAAAAGUUGUAUUCUUUCAUCGUAAUCAUUCAUUUUCUAAAAAUAGAAGAUGUUUGAAGGCUUCAAGUGUAACAUAGCUAAUCUUUUCUCUUUCUUAAUUUUUUGCAUUGAUUUUUAAGAGUGAAGUUCUUAAGAGAAAGUCUUCAAAAGUAUUAUUUACAGUCUUUCAGUGGUCUUGUUGUAAUUUGGAGUUGAUUUGCUAUUAACCCGACAACAUAUAUUCAAGUGGGGGCAAAUAUCAUCUAAAGAAAGUGUUCUACAUGUCUCAAGACCUUAAUUUACUUGAUCUCUAUAUUUAUAUUUCCCAAUGAUUUUUAAGGUGAUAUUUUUAGUGGAGACAAAUACUAAGGCGGCAUUCAAGAUGAUAAAUCAAUAUUCCAUGAAACUGAACCAAUUCGAUAGGACCAACUUCACUCGAUGGAAAGAUAAGAUGAAGUUCUUACUUAUUGCACUGAAGAUAGCCUACAUCAUCAACCCUAAUUUGCUAGAUUUUCUCGCACCUGCGGCAACAGAUACUGAUGAAGUGAGGGCAACACAUAAGAAGCACGAGGAGGAUGAACUAUUAUGCAAUAGGACACAUUCUCAAUACCAUGUCAGAUAAUUUAUGUGAUUUACUUGCAUCAAUCCAAUCACCAAGAGAGAUCUAGAAUUCUCCAGAAGCAAGAUACAAUAUUGAGAAGCAAAGGCACAAAUAAGUUUUUAAUUAUGAAGUAUUUUGAAUUUAUUAUGGUUAAUAGCUUCCAGCCCACUAUUGAAGAGGGUAUGUUGCUGUCGAUAAUUCAAACGUAGAAGACGUUUUAGCUGGUUGUCGAGGGCAUCUCCACCGAGCAUAUUGAUGAAAUUCAUAACAUUGAUCUUAUACACUCUGACAUAGAGUUGAUGUACAUCAGCGAGGAAGCAGUCGAUAGUGCAAACACGAACAUAGAUGAGGAAGUAGAUGUGCUAGAGGACGAGGGUGUGGUAGGGGGUGUGCGGAGGAGUUGAUUUACAUUUGGGUUUUUUUUUUCCAUUUUUGAAGCAUAUUUAAAUAUUUAUGUUAAUUUAUAUACUAUAUUCUUUUUUGUUAUAUUAUUUUUACUUGUGCUUAUAGGCAAUUAAAGUUGGAUUAGUUAAAUUUAAGUACGUAUUAUUGCAGUAGUAAUGCUUGAAAAAAUACUACAAUUAUAUGCUUACUGGGUAUUAGGAAAAAAAGGAAAUGGAAGUAGGAAAAAUCAAGAGAGAACGCGGUGAAUAGUUUAUCGCUUCAUGAAAGUGUUGAAUUAUUUAUUAUCUUUAUAUGCGGUGAACCAUUCAGUGCUUAUAAGUUUUUCUCCUCACUCUAGGACUUGCAUUCGCCUCAUUCAUGAGAGUACUAUAAUCUAAAAUGGAAGUGGUGAACCAUUUAUCAUUUUCAAUAAGCGGUGAACACUUUACCGCCUUUUUAUUUGACAUCUCACCCAAUCUUCUCAACUAAGUCUAGAUUUGGAAAUAAAAUUUUAACAAGCCUAAACUUGCAUUUACAAAUUUCGAGAGGACUAGUUGAUUAAAAUUUCCAAUUUGAGUUGUUGGGAAUAAAUUGAAACAUAAUAUAAAGAUUAAGAACCUACGUGCAGAAGGAAAGAGUUAGGGAUAAGGAUUACGAGGGGUUAGGGUGGGAUAGGAGGCCCUUCCGUAUCCCCGCCCAAUAGAUUUUAGAAUCCUAAUUCUUGUCAUAUCCAUGCCAAUGAAAAAAAAAAAGUUCCCGAAUCACUGUCCCCAUGGGAAUCCUGUCACGCCCCGGAUUGCACGUUCCCAGGCACGCCGACAAAUCUGCCGUAUACAAAAGAACUUUCCCUAUAUACGAAGCGAUAGCUGUACCUGUAAAACAUACAAUACUACAAACAGUAGUAUAGAGCUGUUCGAAUAAAACUAGUAAAAAUAGGAACAAGUUCCAAAUACAUACAUACGUUCAGGUACUCAAAAGCUCGCCUAGCGAGAUACAGUAACGUAUGUAAAUGAACUCAAAAACCACACUACCUGAAGAGGGUAAUCCUCUAGCUCGGCGACUCGUCGGGUAGGGAUCUAGCUCACAACGCCCUUGCCACGAUCUGCCUUAGAAGAUGCAGCAGCCGGAACCGAAUGCUCUGCAAAAAUAGGGUAACAACUGGGCGUGAAAACUACUAUAAAAAUAAGUAAUCCUCAGUGGGUACCGCCCUAAACAUCGUCGGUCUACCCACUAAGUCUACAGAAGGGAGAAAGGGUAGUAUGCAAUGCUGGACGAAACUCUACAGCUACAAGACACUACACUAUCAUGGUCUACACUAACCAACUGUAGGAAGUGACAGUCCUGACCCAAUCGAACUGGGACUGUAAGCCUACCCGUCCCUGGGACUGUGAACAUAUCUGUCCUGCCCUGCGACUAUACAGCUACCUCCACUCUAAGCAAUCCGUGGAGAGCAAGUCCAACCUGCACGAACGAUACCAACGUGAAAGCACAACGCCCGUCUUCGGAGUGGCACUCGUGGGAGCUACCCAACCGAGUAUGCAGCGUAUUUUUGUCGAGCUCAAUCAGACUCUCACAAGCCAAAGUCAAGUAACAGGGUCCAACUGGUCUAACAACCAACAGGUCACGUGCCCUCAACACAAUCUGAUGCCCAAAACGGCGAUAUGGGUCCACCGUCAACCCCGACGGCACCCAACAGUCCAGAACAGUCUGAACGCUACUGUAAAAAUACACUCGGCAUUCCAGCACGAGCGUAACAGCUAAUCUAAACUACCUGGGGUAUCCACCACACUGAUACUGUGGUGAUACAAAAUAACAACGGCUCCUAGACAUAAAUCAGGUAGUUUAAGCAUGUGACAGGUUCAAAUCGCAGGUUUCCUCCUAAGUU